This is a small nuclear RNA of Dermacentor andersoni, 183 nucleotides long. RefSeq annotates it as U2 spliceosomal RNA. Lineage: Eukaryota; Metazoa; Arthropoda; Arachnida; Ixodida; Ixodidae. The record is from RefSeq and is a predicted model, not a curated record.
AGACCUGGCCGAUGCCAGUCAAAUUGUAGUAUCUAUUCUUAUUAGCAUAAUAUCUGAUACAGGUUAUAUUUGGACCCAAGAUAUUAAAUUUUUUUUGCAAGUUGCUUGAGUGCUCGAAGCCUUCUUCACUUCUGCCGCAGCUCGGCCCCGUAAUGCACAAUCUCCGUGCUCGGCCCCACAGUU